GAUUAUCAAUUACGCAUAAAAAAUAGUAUCAUUAAAUCUCUAUUAAAUAACAAAACCAAAAUAUAACAAAAUUGACGUAGAUAAAAAUAGGAUACUAGUAAGAACUAAUAGUAAACAAUAUUGUUUUUAGACUAAAAAUUGACGACAGGUCAUUUGACCUGUUGGCUGUUGAUAACGUCCACGUUUUAUCUUCUUGCCUACGGGUAUUAUUAUUCAAUUUUACGCUCACAAUCAACUUUUGUACGUCAAAACAAUGUUAUGAUGACGUAAUUUAGGGAUGAAGUAAACAAAAAAAAUAGUAUUUAACGGUCAGUAAAAUGAAAUUCAAAUCAUAACUCCAAACUCUGUCUUACAGUUUGAUACAACUGAAAAAACCAAAAACUUCGAAAAUUAUUCGGUUUUAUAUACAAUACUAAAAUCAUAAGAUUCGAAAAAUUUUAUUUAAAAAAUAUGGAUAUGAAAUUAUUGAUUUUAUGUUCGACAUUCAUGUAUAUUAGUUUUAUUAUCUUGCCCGGAAAUUCAUAUGUGAUUGAAAAGAAUAAUGAUAAUGAAUCGAAGAAAAGUGAAGAAAAUGACUUGCUUCACGAUGAAAUUUUCGCUAAGCUUAUCGAGGAAUAUACAAAUGAAUCAAAAGCUAAAGAAAACGAUUUCUCUGAGCAAAAAGUUGUUGCACUGAUGUCCGUCGGUCAUAUUGAUGAUAUUCCUGAUCCUAAAGAUAAUACAUGUGGACCAGGAGAAGAUGUUCUGCCCGAUGGAUCAUG
Molecule: long non-coding RNA, 761 nt
Organism: Microplitis mediator
Lineage: Eukaryota; Metazoa; Arthropoda; Insecta; Hymenoptera; Braconidae
Exons: 3
Source: RefSeq, a predicted model, not a curated record